CAGAAACCGAAGGGUCGGCCUCACUCCCACCGUGCCUCCCCCAACAGCCUCGAGUCUGUUUCCUGGUGGAGGGUGAGAUGGGCUUGAAAACUUGCCCAAGGCUUUUUCCCUUCCAGCUGUGGAAGAAAAGGGCUUCAGUUCUUCCCCCUGCAUGUGAAGUCUGCACACCAGAUUCAUGCUCUCCCCUAGGUUCUGGUCAGGAGGCUUCUUGCCCCUUUCAAAUUGUUAUAAAGUUCAGCUAGAGAAUUCCUUCUCCCUAUGGAGUUUUACCCCCUUCUCCUCUGGCCACCCUCCUGAUGGAUCCCUGUGGUGUCAGGCAGGAAUGGGCUGCUUGGGGACCCAACGAGCUCCCAGGACCUUUCUGCUGCUUCCUCUACCCUUGUAUUUUGCUCGGCUCAGCUCUCUAACUUGACUCAGCUUGAGGUAAAGUUGGAAACUUCUCCCAAAAACAGACCUUCCGCUUCCCCAGUGGUGAUGUGUGUUUGGAAGAGGAGGGUCCCCCUUUCCCACUUCCGCAGUUGGGGCACUCACAGUAUUUGGGGUGUCUCCUGUGUCCUGCAGGGGCAGUCCGCUUCCUUCAGAGGGUCUGCGGCUCCUCUCAGGAUUGCUGGUUUGUUCUUGCAGUUGAUCUGGAGGGUUAUUCUCCAGCUGAGGGUAAGGGUCAGUGGACCCUGCAACUCUGCAGUUCCACCUCUGCCACCCCUGCCGCUACCGCCAAGCCAGUGACCUCAGGUGGCACGAAUAAUCAUGACAUUUGCUAAAUCCAGUUGGUAUUUACACAAGAGGAAACAUCAUUUGCAGAAAGUUGGCAAUUAUAGGUAAAUAUACAAACACAGAAAUUGAAAAUAGCCUGUUUGCUCUAUGUAACACGCAUAAAACCUGAAUACAUCCCAAUUCUAAGGGAUAAUUAUUGAUAUCAUUCAAACUUUCUAUUUGUUUUAAGGAGAACAUGGAAAACGUAUUUCUUGGUGUUGACGUUUAUCUCUACAAUGUCAACAUUUU
This 1002-nucleotide long non-coding RNA is filed under the name Homo sapiens (human). RNAcentral's name for it is "HSALNT0205553". Lineage: Eukaryota; Metazoa; Chordata; Mammalia; Primates; Hominidae. The record is from RNAcentral.